AUUCCAGCUCCAGUAGCGUAUAUUAAUGUUGUUGCAGUUAAAAAGCUCGUAGUUGGAUUUCUGACUUGACGCGCCUGGCCCGCCUUGCAUUUCGCGGGUGAGUGCCGGAGCGCGUCGGUCAUCCUUCUAGAGAACGGCGCUACCCUUCACUGGGCCGGCGUCGCAAUCUAGAUCUUUUACUUUGAAAAAAUUAGAGUGUUCAAGGCAGGCUCGCGCUGUGAAUACAUUAGCAUGGAAUAAUAAUCUAGGACUUUGUUCCUAUUUUGUUGGUUUCUAGGAAUUAAGUAAUGAUUGAUAGGGAUAGUUGGGGGUGCUAGUAUUCAGCGGCCAGAGGUGAAAUUCUUGGAUUCGCUGAAGACUAACUUAUGCGAAAGCAUUCGCCAAGGAUGUUUUCAUCG
This 398-nucleotide ribosomal RNA is filed under the name Imbricatea sp. RNAcentral describes it as "partial small subunit ribosomal RNA". It matches the Rfam family "Eukaryotic small subunit ribosomal RNA", at positions 582 to 975 of the family's 1831-position model. The record is from RNAcentral. Lineage: Eukaryota; Cercozoa; Imbricatea.